UACGUAGGGUGCAAGCGUUAAUCGGAAUUACUGGGCGUAAAGCGUGCGCAGGCGGUUCGGAAAGAAAGGUGUGAAAUCCCCGGGCUUAACCUGGGAACGGCACUUUUAACUACCGGGCUAGAGUGUGUCAGAGGGGGGUGGAAUUCCGCGUGUAGCAGUGAAAUGCGUAGAGAUGCGGAGGAACACCGAUGGCGAAGGCAGCCCCCUGGGAUAACACUGACGCUCAUGCACGAAAGCGUGGGGAGCAAAC
This 250-nucleotide ribosomal RNA is filed under the name uncultured bacterium. RNAcentral describes it as "partial 16S ribosomal RNA". It matches the Rfam family "Bacterial small subunit ribosomal RNA", at positions 524 to 773 of the family's 1533-position model. The record is from RNAcentral.